This 474-nucleotide ribosomal RNA is filed under the name uncultured bacterium. RNAcentral describes it as "bacterial SSU rRNA". It matches the Rfam family "Bacterial small subunit ribosomal RNA", at positions 328 to 793 of the family's 1533-position model. The record is from RNAcentral.
UCAGUCGACUCCUACGGGGAGGCAGCAGUGGGGAAUUUGGACAAUGGGGGGCAACCCUGAUCCAGCAAUGCCGCGUGAGUGAAGAAGGACCUCGGGUUGUAAAGCUCUUUGUCAGGGAAGAAACGGUGAUCUCUAAUAUAGAUUGCUAAUGACGGUACCUGAAGAAUAAGCACCGGCUAACUACGUGCCAGCAGCCGCGGUAAUACGUAGGGUGCAAGCGUUAAUCGGAAUUACUGGGCGUAAAGCGUGCGCAGGCGGUUUUGUAAGUCUGAUGUGAAAUCCCCGGGGCUCAACCUGGGAACUGCAUUGGAGACUGCAAGGCUAGAGUGUGUCAGAGGGGGGUAGAAUUCCACGUGUAGCAGUGAAAUGCGUAGAGAUGUGGAGGAAUACCGAUGGCGAAGGCAGCCCCCUGGGAUAACACUGACGCUCAUGCACGAAAGCGUGGGGAGCAAACAGGAUUAGAUACCCUGGUAG